This 440-nucleotide ribosomal RNA is filed under the name uncultured bacterium. Its description in RNAcentral is "partial 16S ribosomal RNA". It matches the Rfam family "Bacterial small subunit ribosomal RNA", at positions 338 to 795 of the family's 1533-position model. The record is from RNAcentral.
CCUACGGGGGGCAGCAGUAGGGAAUAUUGCUCAAUGGGGGAAACCCUGAAGCAGCAACGCUGCGUGGAGGAUGAAGGUUCUCGGAUUGUAAACUCCCUUUGUUAGAGAAGUUAAUGACGGUAUCUAACGAAUAAGCACUGGCGAACGCCGUGCCAGCAGCCGCGGUAAUACGGAGGGUGCAAGCGUUACUCGGAACCUCUGGGCGUAAGGGGCGCGUAGGCGGGAUAGCAAGUCAGAUGUGAAAUCCUAUGGCUUAACCAUGGAACUGCAUUUGAAACUGUUAUUCUAGAGUAUGGGAGAGGUAGGUGGAAUUCGUGGUGUAGGGGUAAAAUCCGUAGAGAUCAAGAGGAAUACUGAUUGCGAAGGCGACCUGCUAGAACAUAACUGACGCUGAGGCGCGAAAGCGUGGGGAGCAAACAGGAUUAGAUACCCGGGUAGUC